UAAUUUUAUGUCUAAUUACCAGGACAGUUAGAGAUUAAGAUAGUCGACAUAUAUAGGGAUUAAAAUGGUUUUCAUCCCAGAGUUUAACAUUUUGUGUUAUUGUUUUAUUAACCUCUUAUAAUUUUUUCUCAUGGCUGUUGCUUGAGGGUGCUAGGCAUUUUUACAUUACCAAGCAUCUUAAUGUGAAAUGAUUAUUGUCUGGAUUUCUUUUUAGGAAUUUUUUCUUCCUAAAUCAUCAUCCUUCCAGCUUCUCUCAGCACAACUCUGGUGUAAAAUGUUACAGUCUAAACAUAUUAAGUUUGGUUCAUUUCUCCAGGAAAAAAAAACAAACCUCUCUUCAGAUGAUGCUUCAAAAAUUCGUUUGUGAUUUUCUUCAGAAAAUAGCUGAAGUGGAUUCUGCAUAUUUUAUUGUUAAACACUAUAAAGGCAUAUUCCCCCAACACAGUAUUUCAGAUGUAUUGCAGAGCAAAAGAGCAUCCUCUGUUGAAUUAACCUAGGUCUCUACACUUCCUGGAGCUGGCCAGAAAUGGAAAAAGAAAACAUGGUUAAUUUCAUGAAAGUCUGUUCUCGCAAGAUUUCUAGGGCAAGUCAGCAAACUGAAGGUAUU
Molecule: non-coding RNA, 607 nt
Organism: Pelodiscus sinensis (Chinese soft-shelled turtle)
Lineage: Eukaryota; Metazoa; Chordata; Testudines; Trionychidae
Source: RefSeq, a predicted model, not a curated record